GACGAACGCUGGCGGCGUGCUUAACACAUGCAAGUCGAACGCUGAAGACCUGGCUUUUGUUGGGUUGGAUGAGUGGCGAACGGGUGAGUAACACGUGAGUAACCUGCCCUCUUCUUUGGGAUAACGCCCGGAAACGGGUGCUAAUACUGGAUAUUCACUGAUCUUCGCAUGGGGGUUGGUGGAAAGGUUUGUUCUGGUGGGGGAUGGGCUCGCGGCCUAUCAGCUUGUUGGUGGGGUGAUGGCCUACCAAGGCUUUGACGGGUAGCCGGCCUGAGAGGGUGACCGGUCACAUUGGGACUGAGAUACGGCCCAGACUCCUACGGGAGGCAGCAGUGGGGAAUAUUGCACAAUGGGCGAAAGCCUGAUGCAGCGACGCCGCGUGAGGGAUGGAGGCCUUCGGGUUGUAAACCUCUUCCGCUCAUGGUCAAGCCGCAACUGUGGGUUGUGGUGAGGGUAGUGGGUAAAGAAGCGCCGGCUAACUACGUG
This 486-nucleotide ribosomal RNA is filed under the name uncultured bacterium. Its description in RNAcentral is "partial 16S ribosomal RNA". It matches the Rfam family "Bacterial small subunit ribosomal RNA", at positions 28 to 507 of the family's 1533-position model. The record is from RNAcentral.